CAUCUGGCUAUUCUUGUAGCCAUAAAACAGUCACUAAAAAAAAUAUU
This is a non-coding RNA of Chaetura pelagica (chimney swift), 47 nucleotides long. The record is from Rfam. NCBI's taxonomy places the organism in Eukaryota, Metazoa, Chordata, Aves, Apodiformes, Apodidae.